Molecule: long non-coding RNA, 441 nt
Filed under: Carica papaya (papaya)
Lineage: Eukaryota; Viridiplantae; Streptophyta; Magnoliopsida; Brassicales; Caricaceae
Description: long non-coding RNA (CPAP_LNC005950)
Source: RNAcentral
GUAUAUGUCCACUCCAAGCUAAUGAUCGGUAUGUCAAUUUCUGUGUUAAGCAAAUAACUGAAUAUACAUUUUCUAUCAGCAUAAAUAUUUAGUUUCAUUAAUUAUUUAAAAGUAUCUUCCUUUCAUAUUAUUUCUCAGUGGAUGAUGAAUACCUUCUAAUCGGAUCAGCCAACAUAAACCAACGAUCCAUGGACGGGCAACGGGACACUGAAAUUGCAAUAGGAUGUUACCAGCUCAAAACUGAUAAUGAUCAUGAAAUCAAAACCAUAAGCUCUGGUGAUGUACAUGCUUACCGUAUGACACUCUGGUAUGAGCAUGCUGGACUAAUUGAAGCAUCAUUUUACAUGCCUCAAAGCCUGGAAUGUGUGCAUAGAAUACGAUCCAUUGGACAAAAAAUGUGGAAAAUUUACAGUGGAGAAGAAGUUGUUGACAUGGAAGGGG